Molecule: non-coding RNA, 433 nt
Organism: Pelobates cultripes (western spadefoot toad)
Lineage: Eukaryota; Metazoa; Chordata; Amphibia; Anura; Pelobatidae
Source: the annotation of a GenBank genome assembly
CAGUGUGUUCUUACGACUUCAAGCGCUCUGGGGCCCGACGCAAAUUGAUCUAUUCGCAUCUCGGUUGAACUCCCAAUUACCAGCGUUCUUCAGCUGGAGACCAGACCCGGACGCCCUAGCAGCGGAUGCGUUUCUUCAACUAUGGCCGAAGAGCCGAUUGUACGCAUUUCCUCCAUUCUCCCUCAUAGCUAUAACACUGGUACACCUCAGACGUGUCCAAGCCUCAUUGGUCCUCAUAACCCCAUUUUGGACAGCUCAACCUUGGUUCCCAUCACUCAUGGAAAUGUCCAUGGACCUCCCGAGACUGCUACCCGAUGUCGCACAUCUUUUAUCAGACCCAGAGGGCAACCCACAUCCCCUUCUGAUUCAGGGGAACUUCAAACUCUUAGCGUGGCUCCUUUCAGGGGACCCUGGAUCAUACCAGAUGUUCUAC